This 492-nucleotide ribosomal RNA is filed under the name uncultured bacterium. RNAcentral describes it as "partial 16S ribosomal RNA". It matches the Rfam family "Bacterial small subunit ribosomal RNA", at positions 29 to 507 of the family's 1533-position model. The record is from RNAcentral.
AGUGAACGCUGGCGGUAGGCCUAACACAUGCAAGUCGAACGGCAGCACAGUAAGAGCUUGCUCUUACGGGUGGCGAGUGGCGGACGGGUGAGGAAUACAUCGGAAUCUACUUUUUCGGGGGGGAUAACGUAGGGAAACUUACGAUAAUACCGCAUACGACGUACGGGUGAAAGCAGGGGAGCUUCGGACCUUGCGCGAUUGAAUGAGCCGAUGUCGGAUUAGCUAGUUGGCGGGGUAAAGGCCCACCAAGGCGACGAUCCGUAGCUGGUCUGAGAGGAUGAUCAGCCACACUGGAACUGAGACACGGUCCAGACUCCUACGGGAGGCAGCAGUGGGGAAUAUUGGACAAUGGGCGCAAGCCUGAUCCAGCCAUACCGCGUGGGUGAAGAAGGCCUUCGGGUUGUAAAGCCCUUUUGUUGGGAAAGAAAAGCAGCAGGUUAAUACCCCGCUGUUCUGACGGUACCCAAAGAAUAAGCACCGGCUAACUUCGUG